RNAcentral lists this ribosomal RNA (484 nucleotides) under uncultured bacterium. RNAcentral describes it as "partial 16S ribosomal RNA". It matches the Rfam family "Bacterial small subunit ribosomal RNA", at positions 30 to 507 of the family's 1533-position model. The record is from RNAcentral.
AUUGAACGCUGGCGGCAGGCCUAACACAUGCAAGUCGAGCGGAUGAAGGGAGCUUGCUCCUGGAUUCAGCGGCGGACGGGUGAGUAAUGCCUAGGAAUCUGCCUGGUAGUGGGGGAUAACGUCCGGAAACGGGCGCUAAUACCGCAUACGUCCUGAGGGAGAAAGUGGGGGAUCUUCGGACCUCACGCUAUCAGAUGAGCCUAGGUCGGAUUAGCUAGUUGGUGGGGUAAAGGCCUACCAAGGCGACGAUCCGUAACUGGUCUGAGAGGAUGAUCAGUCACACUGGAACUGAGACACGGUCCAGACUCCUACGGGAGGCAGCAGUGGGGAAUAUUGGGCAAUGGGCGAAAGCCUGAUCCAGCCAUGCCGCGUGUGUGAAGAAGGUCUUCGGGUUGUAAAGCACUUUAAGUUGGGAGGAAGGGCAGUAAGUUAAUACCUUGCUGUUUUGACGUUACCAACAGAAUAAGCACCGGCUAACUUCGUG